CCUACGGGAGGCUGCAGUGGGGAAUAUUGCACAAUGGGGGAAACCCUGAUGCAGCGACGCCGCGUGAGUGAAGAAGCGUUUCGGAGCGUAAAGCUCUGUCAGCGGGGAAGAAAGACGGUUCGCGAGAGCCGCGGACGGUACCCGAGAAAGAAGCCCCGGCCAACUACGUGCAAGCAGCCGCGGUAAUAGGUAGGGGGCAGGCGUUAUGCGGAUUGACCGGGUGGAAAGGGAGCGUAGACGGCGAGACAAGUCUGGAGUGAAAGGCCGGGGCCCAACCCCGGGACUGCUCUGGAAACUGGCUGGCUGGAGUACAGGAGAGGUAAGUGGAAUUCCUAGUGUAGCGGUGAAAUGCGUAGAUAUUAGGAGGAACACCAGUGGCGAAGGCGGCUUACUGGACUGUAACUGACGUUGAGGCUCGAAAGCGUGGGGAGCAAACAGGAUUAGAUACCCUUGUAGUC
Molecule: ribosomal RNA, 458 nt
Filed under: uncultured bacterium
Lineage: Bacteria
Description: partial 16S ribosomal RNA
Rfam family: Bacterial small subunit ribosomal RNA
Source: RNAcentral